This 892-nucleotide unclassified non-coding RNA is filed under the name Hevea brasiliensis (rubber tree). Lineage: Eukaryota; Viridiplantae; Streptophyta; Magnoliopsida; Malpighiales; Euphorbiaceae. The record is from RNAcentral.
GCUCAAAGCUAAUGCAUGAUUAUUUUUUUCUAAUACCCUCCACCAAAUGAUCCCAAAAUAAAAUUAAACAAGGUUAAUGGUGUGAUAACCAAAAUAACAUGUUGAAUUCCAUGGCAAAAUAUGUAGAGUUGCUCCAAUCAACCACGCCUAAAAAUAGGCAGUAAUUGCAAACUCCACCAUCAAGAACCUUUUCUGGCCCCUAUUGAUAACGUCAUCAGCGUUACUUAAAUAUACAAAAUCAUACAACCAGAAAAAAUAAUAAAGAGUUCUCAACUUGGAUCGGACAAUCUUUUAUUGUUCUAAAAGCCGAGUUAACCUGUAAUAAAAAGUUUACAGUGACCAAUCUAAACUUGCAUCCCAAAUGGGGUUAGGAGAGAGUCUAAGAUGACAGAGUUGAUCAAAAUACAAGGACAAGAAUAGCAGCAUUAGUACUCUCCAAGAAUUCAAAACUAGAGGCGUAAGCUAUUUCAGUUGAUACCAUGGAAUGAUGGCAAGACAGCAAUAAGUGGAUCACCAUAACCAACAGCCUCGCCAUCAUUAAAGAGGAUUUUCAAGACUUCUCCAGCCGCAUCUGACCUGACAGGAAGUUCUGUCCCAAACUGAUCCAAAAAGCCAAUAAUCUGUCCCUCCUUGAUAAUAUCACCCUCUUUACAUGCAGGAGGUUGUUUCUUUCCCUUUAAUGUCCUGGCCCUUCGGAAUGAACCAACCGUGGGGCACGAUACAAGAACAUAACCACUAGCUCCAGUAGACUCUAGAGCCGCUAAUUUUGCUGAUUUUUCAGCAGCAACGUUUGUGAAUGGGCUGAUCUUUCCUGAGGUUGAUUUCCCUGGGGAUGCUGCAGGAGCAGCAGUUGAUGAAAUGGAUGGUUUGCUUGCACUAGGUGGUGGUGGUG